GACGAACGCUGGCGGCGUGCCUAAUACAUGCAAGUUGAGCGAUGAAGAUUGGUGCUUGCACCAAUUUGAAGAGCAGCGAACGGGUGAGUAACGCGUGGGGAAUCUGCCUUUGAGCGGGGGACAACAUUUGGAAACGAAUGCUAAUACCGCAUAAUAACUUUAAACACAAGUUUUAAGUUUGAAAGAUGCAAUUGCAUCACUCAAAGAUGAUCCCGCGUUGUAUUAGCUAGUUGGUGAGGUAAAGGCUCACCAAGGCGAUGAUACAUAGCCGACCUGAGAGGGUGAUCGGCCACAUUGGGACUGAGACACGGCCCAAACUCCUACGGGAGGCAGCAGUAGGGAAUCUUCGGCAAUGGACGAAAGUCUGACCGAGCAACGCCGCGUGAGUGGAGAAGGUUUUCGGAUCGUAAAACUCUGUUGGUAGAGAAGAACGUUGGUGAGAGUGGAAAGCUCAUCAAGUGACGGUAACUACCCAGAAAGGGACGGCUAACUACGUG
Molecule: ribosomal RNA, 497 nt
Filed under: uncultured bacterium
Lineage: Bacteria
Description: partial 16S ribosomal RNA
Rfam family: Bacterial small subunit ribosomal RNA
Source: RNAcentral